Molecule: ribosomal RNA, 441 nt
Filed under: uncultured Gammaproteobacteria bacterium
Lineage: Bacteria; Pseudomonadati; Pseudomonadota; Gammaproteobacteria
Description: bacterial SSU rRNA
Rfam family: Bacterial small subunit ribosomal RNA
Source: RNAcentral
GGCGGCGUGCCUAACACAUGCAAGUCGAGCGGUAACAGGUGUAGCAAUACAUGCUGACGAGCGGCGAACGGGUGAGUAAUGCUUUGGAAUCUUCCCAGUAGUGGGGAAUAACCAGUCGAAAGAUUGGCUAAUACCGCAUACGUCUGUAAAGGGAAAGCGGGGGCUCGUAAGACCUCGCGCUAUUGGAUGAGCCAAAGUCGGAUUAGCUAGUUGGUGGGGUAAUGGCCUACCAAGGCGACAAUCCGUAGCUGGUCUGAGAGGACGACCAGCCACACCGGAACUGAGACACGGUCCGGACUCCUACGGGAGGCAGCAGUGGGGAAUAUUGGACAAUGGGGGAAACCCUGAUCCAGCGACGCCGCGUGUGUGAAGAAGGCCUGCGGGUUGUAAAGCACUUUUAGUGGGGACAAAAAGCUACGGAUUAAUACUCUGUGGUCUUGA